AACGAACGCUGGCGGCGCGCCUAAUACAUGCAAGUCGAGCGAGAAGACGUAGCAAUACGUUUGUAAAGCGGCGAACGGGUGAGGAAUACAUGGGUAACCUACCCUCGAGUGGGGAAGUAACUAGCCGAAGGUUAGCUAAUACCGCGUACGCUCCUUGGACUUCGGUUCAGGGAGGAAAGCGAUACCGUGGGUAUCGCGCUCUUGGAUGGGCUCAUGUCCUAUCAGCUUGUUGGUGAGGAACGGCUCACCAAGGCUUCGACGGGUAGCUGGUCUGAGAGGACGAUCAGCCACACUGGCACUGCGACACGGGCCAGACUCCUACGGGAGGCAGCAGUAAGGAAUAUUGCGCAAUGGGCGAAAGCCUGACGCAGCGACGCCGCGUGGGGGAGUGAAGGGUC
RNAcentral lists this ribosomal RNA (398 nucleotides) under uncultured bacterium. RNAcentral's name for it is "bacterial SSU rRNA". It matches the Rfam family "Bacterial small subunit ribosomal RNA", at positions 29 to 417 of the family's 1533-position model. The record is from RNAcentral.